AUUGAACGCUGGCGGCAGGCUUAACACAUGCAAGUCGAGCGGGGUGAUGGUGCUUGCACUAUCACUUAGCGGCGGACGGGUGAGUAAUGCUUAGGAAUCUGCCUAUUAGUGGGGGACAACAUCUCGAAAGGGAUGCUAAUACCGCAUACGUCCUACGGGAGAAAGCGGGGGAUCACUUGUGACCUUGCGCUAAUAGAUGAGCCUAAGUCGGAUUAGCUAGUUGGUGGGGUAAAGGCCUACCAAGGCGACGAUCUGUAGCGGGUCUGAGAGGAAGAGCCGCCACACUGGGACUGAGACACGGCCCAGACUCCUACGGGAGGCAGCAGUGGGGAAUAUUGGACAAUGGGGGGAACCCUGAUCCAGCCAUGCCGCGUGUGUGAAGAAGGCCUUAUGGUUGUAAAGCACUUUAAGCGAGGAGGAGGCUCUUUUGGUUAAUACCCAAGAUGAGUGGACGUUACUCGCAGAAUAAGCACCGGCUAACUCUGUGCCAGCCGCCGCCGUAA
This 503-nucleotide ribosomal RNA is filed under the name uncultured bacterium. RNAcentral's name for it is "partial 16S ribosomal RNA". It matches the Rfam family "Bacterial small subunit ribosomal RNA", at positions 30 to 523 of the family's 1533-position model. The record is from RNAcentral.